RNAcentral lists this long non-coding RNA (306 nucleotides) under Elaeis guineensis (African oil palm). RNAcentral's name for it is "long non-coding RNA (EGUI_LNC015946)". The record is from RNAcentral. Lineage: Eukaryota; Viridiplantae; Streptophyta; Magnoliopsida; Arecales; Arecaceae.
GGAGAUUGGGAAACCCUCUGGGCCCGAUGCUUUGUCUUUAGCCAAGCUGAAAAUGACGUUUCUUAUUUCUUCAAUAGUGAAACAGCUUCAAGGCAUUGCAGAUUUAAUGAUCCUUCAGGAUAUAGUUUAUUCCAAUCUAGCUCGAGAUUCUGAUGAUCAGAAUUAUCCAAAAGAGAGGGGAAGUAAGAUGAGAAGGCUUGGUGAAUUGAGUCUUCAAAUGAGAUAGUUUCUCCGUUAACAGAAAUUUCAUUAAUCUUGUUCUCCGUUUUCUGUUGCAUGCUAUUAUGUGAAAGUAAGAUGUGUUUC